UUCUACGUUGUCUCGCUCUCUUCGCCGAGCCUUGGUUCCGUUCUGCUGCUUCGUCACCGGCUCACACCACUUCAAUUCUCUUCUGCACCAUGAUUCCCCAUAGCCAAAUCAGCUUCACCGAUUACAGAAUGAUCCCUGGUGUGAAGAGUUAAUUAUAUUGAUGCUGAAAAAAAAGACACUGAUGAAGAGUUGAUGAAUUGCUAGACCAAGUUUAAAGAAAGGAUUGCAAUGUUGCAAUGUUACAAAAUAAGCAAGCUGGAAAGAGAGAUGAAUGACACCCAAAGUUCUUUCCUUAAGAAGAUGAUUCCAUCUGGGAGAUUAGCAAGCUACAAAUAGAAGCAGAGGGUCACACGUCUUUGAAGAAUAAACGUGAUUCCUCCAUUCAAAAUCUUUUAGCUAGGUAUAACUUAGGGAUGAAUUUGUUCUUUUUGUAAACAAAACAAGUGUAUUUGGAUAUCAGAUUGAAUUUGUUGUUUUGGUGCACAA
This is a long non-coding RNA of Lotus japonicus, 486 nucleotides long. RefSeq lists it as uncharacterized. The record is from RefSeq and is a predicted model, not a curated record. The transcript is spliced from 4 exons. NCBI's taxonomy places the organism in Eukaryota, Viridiplantae, Streptophyta, Magnoliopsida, Fabales, Fabaceae.